Panthera uncia (snow leopard) is the source of this 8182-nucleotide long non-coding RNA. RefSeq lists it as uncharacterized. The record is from RefSeq and is a predicted model, not a curated record. Lineage: Eukaryota; Metazoa; Chordata; Mammalia; Carnivora; Felidae. The transcript has 3 exons.
AACUUGACUGAACAUGAAAGUUUGCUGUUAAGUGGCAAUAACUAACAGAGGACAAAUCACCAACAGAAAGGAAAGAGAUACCAGGGAGUGUCAGGAUCGGGAAGACUCCGCUUGGUGGAAUAGCUGUUCUCCCCAAAUUAUCUGGACAAUUACGAACUUCCCAAUAAAAACUGUCAUUGUUUUCUUUCCACUGGACAAGGGAAUUCUAAAAUUAAAGAGCUUAACAAAGGGCCCCGAAGAAGUGUAACAAGGUGGCAACGGCCCUGCUAGAUAGAUAUCAAGAUGGAUCACCGAGCCACACUAUAGAAAACUGGUGCUGUGGCUCCACUGGGGACCUGAAUAUGGCAUCGGCCACCAUCCUACACACACAUCGACACUUCAUAAGGGAGGUGGCCUGACAGAUAAAGUGGGGGAAAGAAGGCAGUUUUUAUAAAUGAGUCUGAAAAAUUGAUCACACACACACACACACACACACACACACACACACAGCCUUGGGAAAUUAUUCUAAAUUAGGUAGAGGAACAACCAAUGUAAUGGUAAAAAUAUGAGUUCUAUAUUACACUUAAUGUCUCUUUAGAAAGGAUACUAUACGAAAGAGAUGUGCAGCACACAUAGUUGGCAAAGCAUGCCAUCCACAAUAUAUAAAGAUCCUUGCAAUAAAGAAAAACAAACCAAUAGAAAAGCUUGUAGAUGUCACCCAUAGGAAGUUGUGUGGUGUCAUAGCAGACGUGAACGGGGAGGAACAUUCAUAGUGGCAGUGUUUGUAUAACAUAUGAGCAAAAGCAAAACAUCCCAAAUGUUCACCAGUUACCAAUCAGUGAAAGAAAAUGUGAUAAGUUCUUACGAUGGGAGAUGCAGAGACCAUUGCCAUCCAGGCACACCUGUGGGAGUGAAUCCUGGGAAUUUUUCCUGAACAAAGCAAGUGGCAUGAAAUUCAGUGUAAUUUCAUUUUUGUGAAGGUCAACAACGCUCAAUAUGAAAUGUAUGGUUUUUAAGGUUACAGCAUGUUGUUGAAAAAGAAGACGUGUAAAGGUGAGACAAGCUGAGUGUCAUCGUAACAAGAAGGCAGCUGACAGUCCACUUCCAAUGUGACUCUUUUCUCCAGAUGAUACUUCCGUGUGACCCAAGCCAGUGAGGUCCCCAGAAACCCAGACUGAAUUCCGUAUUAUCUGAUAGAACGUCUUACACUUGGACUCAGAGACUCAGGACCCCCAUGGGGACCCUGAAGGUUCCUAGAACAUGGUUGGUCACGGGUCUCUGAGGAUGAGCUACCACGGACGCCGUGAGACAGAACCUGCGUGCUGGCAGGUGCACACUCCCAGGCUCUCACAGAUCACCCCGGACAUAUGUCAACAUCUAUGUUCUUAUUCGUGGUUGUGUGAGGACACCUGGUGUCUGAGGGGAGAAGGGAGGAUUAGGCUUUUGAGUAAUGGUGUGUCUGCUUCUGCCAGUACCCUGCUGAUGGUGGAUUUUUAUUUGUGUUUUUGUUUGUUUUUUAGUAUAUUCAAGCAUGAGGAAUUGGAAACAAAAGAUAAUCAGGAGAAAAUGUAGUUUGGAUUAUUUUAUUCUACUCAGACCCACAAAGUAGAGACAUGCAAGAAAUAUCAGUUGAACACAGAAAACAAAGAAGAGGGAAGGAUGCAAGUGGUUAAUAGUGACCUGACCGGUGACUCUGACUCCUUAGCUUCAAUGGAUAGCACCGUGCUGGCCACCAGCAGGGCGGCCAGGAAACAGCGUCCCAGGCUGUGGCUCAGGAAGGGGCUGUUGCAGGUGGGACCUCGCUCCGGUCCGUGUGCUCUGUCAGCUGUCCCACUGCCCACUCAACUCCAUUCCCACCUAGUCUGGAGACCUCCCAGCCCAGGAGAACACCGUGCGGAUCGUGUCCUGCUGGACAGACUGAUCCUCUCCUCCCACUCCCCUCUGGCCUCUCACAGAAGCUGGGAUCCAGCUGAACCAGUGCCCCCGGCCCCUCUUGGCCACCUUAACUGCACAUGUAAUUCAAACGUUCACUUCUGGUCUUCACACAGGCUCAGCCUGCACACAUCUCCUUCUUCUAUUAAAGGUCUUUCCCUACACCUGGCUGCUGAAGCAAGAAUCAUGAGAGUCACUACUGAAUUCUUCUGCUCCUCCCUGUGCUUUGUGGAACCUGUUAGCAAAGCCUCCAUAGGCCCCCCAACCUGCCCCAAUAUUCCUCCUAUUUCUCUACCACCUUCUUGUCCACACUGACCGUGAGUCCACAUCGUCAUUUCCAACAUGGACGUGACCGAUUCUAACCAGUCUUCCUAGGGGAUUAAGUUCCUACUGUAGCUGUAACAAAUUACCACAAACUUAGUGGCUUAAAACAACACAAUUUGUUAAUCUUAGUGGGCUUUUAAAAACUAUUUAUUUAUUUAUUUAUUUAUUUAUUUAUUUAUUUAGAGAGGGGAAGGGGCAGAGACAGAGAGAGAAUCCCAAGCAGGCUCCACACUGUCAGCACAAAGCCCAAAAUGGGGCUUGAACCCACGAACCGUGAGAUCAUGACCUGAGCCGAAACCAAGAGUCGGAUGCUUAACUCACUGAGCCACACAGGUGCCUCAAUCUUAUUGUUUUUAUUUUACUGUUAGGUUAGAAGCCUGACAAAGAUAUCUCCAUAGGGAUCCCCCAGUAUAAUCUCCCUAUUUGAAGGCCCACCCAUUGACAAUCUGAAUUCCCCAUUGCUAUGCCCAGUCCCAUGUUCACAGGUGCUGGGGACCAGGGUGUGGACAUCUUGGGGCAUCACACUUCUGCCUACCACACUCAGUUUCCAUUGUCUCCUCUCUCUGGGGCCUUCUCCACCCGGCAAGCACAGCCAUACCACUUUAAAUGAGUCUGAAUAAUUGCUCAUACACACAACACACACACACGCACGCACGCACACACACACACGCACAACACACACAUAUACACACACACCCCUUAGGGAACCUACAGGAUCCUGGACAGCUCCAGGCAGGCAGCAGCAGCAGAACACAGGAAAUAAUCCACAUGAUAUCCCUGGGGUAGGUGUGUCUGAGGGUGGGGACCUGCAGGGAGGCAGGAGGGCACCGUGGAGCUGGGCACUGGUGCCCAGGGAGGAAGCAGGACUAUGCCCAACAGAGAACACAUCUCUCUGCAGCAGCUGUGCACGGAGGGUCCCCUGGGCCAGUGUCUUGGCCCCAAUACCUAACGUGCACUAGGGUGUGGAAUUUGCCAUCUGUGCCCCAAACGGGUGAGAUUGGGGUUGACAGCGACAUCCAAGGGAAACUUUUAAUUCCAAACUCAAAAGCCUGUGCCUUGAAAAUAAGAAAACACCCAUGCAUUCCUUAUUAAAUCCCCAGGGCAACACUACCCACAUUUAAAUUAGCAGCAAGUUGAAGCACCUGGGUGGCUCAGUCAGUUAAGUGCAUGACUACGGCUCAGGUCAUGAUCUCACGGUUUGUGAGUUCAAGCCCUGCAUUGGGCUCUGUGCUGACAGCUCAGAACCUGGAGCCUGCUCUGGAUUCUGUGCCUCCCUCUAUCUCCACCCCUCCCCUGCUCAUGCUAUAUCUGUCACUCCCUCUCAAGAAUAAAUAUUAAAAACUUUUUAAAUAAAUAAAUUAGCAGCAAGUUCAGUCAUCUCCCUGGUUACUCGCCCACAGUGGACUUGCAGGCACACAGAGUGGCCAACAAGCACCCUGCAUCCUCUCCUUUGCUCAGCAGCUGCCAUGUCCUGGCAGAUGAUUGAUAAUCACAACAGAGAGUCUGGUCCCAUAGCACAGACUGGUGGGGACAGAGGUGGCGAUAACCACUCUGAGGACCUGGGGAUCAGAAAGCUGGGCACACAGCGCUGCCCAGGUGUGAUGGAGACAAAGAACUGAUGUAGGACUGGGUUGGGGAUCAGAAUUGAGGUGCCUUACCUGGAAGCACUAAACUGGGAAGUGACCAUAGUUGCAGGGAAAGGCUGGAUUCUCAAGAGGGAAACCUCUCAGGAAUUGGAAGGAAACCUCUCAGGUACAGGAGCUAAGUGGGCAGCAUACCACGUGUGUGCCCAUCAUCUAACCACUCCUACCUCCAGAAAUGAUGGUCUCUCCUCAAUAGAGCCCAGACUCACCUGUGCUCCCUCACCGCCCGCGCUUGAAGAGACGCUGGCAUCUCAUUCCUGCACUGCAGGGAGGGGGAGGCCGAUUUCCCCACAGACAGCCCAGGAAUGGUGUCCUGCAGAACAAGGUCAGGCAAGACCUCACUCUCCCAACAACCCGGAGCCUGAUCUGGUCUUUAUGGUGGAGCCUGGACGCCACCUGCUCUCUCAGGCCCUAGAGAUCCUGUGCUAGGAAGAAUGCCACUUCUCUCCUGACUCUUCCAGCUAGGAAGGUUCUUAAAAUACCCAGGAGGACCUGUGUCCCACUUGGAAAACCCAGUCUGGAAUGUUCCACAGAAGGCCUAUCAAGGCCGAUGUGCACAGAUCUUAAGUGACAGGGCCUUUAGGGACACAGGCUCACAGUCAUUUUCCCCAGGGCCCACAUGUGGUGCUGGGGCAUCUGGGCCCUGAGUGUCCAGUCUACAAGGCCCACUGUCCCUGGCACCAUCCCUUCUCCAAUGACUUGGGCCUGGGGUUGUUUCCGGUUACAAGUCCAUGUGCCACAUCCUCCAAUGUGAGGUUCUUCUCUGGGGACCCUGUUUAGGGUCCCAAGAACUACACCAUGAGCAAAUCUAAAGAGUAUUUGAGGGUUGGGCGUUGUGGCAAUGUAAACACUUGCAUUGGUCAGGAGAUGGAAAUGGUCAGCAGGAGUUCAGGCAGGAGCGUGAGUGCCCUCUGGUGGAUGGUUCCUGCUGCUGGAAGAGCAAACAGGGCCCUGGACAGGAGACGGGAGGGCUCAGCUUGGACAAAGGGCACAUUCAGGUUCAGAAGGAGGCAUAUUUAGAGGGGAAGAACUUAUGGCUGCCCGUGGCUCAGCAGCUGGAAGACUGGUUUUUGCCAAGGGUGUAACCACAAAUCAGGACACCACUGGGUUAUAUUGCCAGGUUGGCUGAGGGAAAUUCUGUAGACAUUGGGAUGCAAAAACAUACGUGACCGCACAUUGAUAUGUGAUGUCAUUAGACACGUCCUCUGAUGUUCUCAGCAUCCUGAGAGGCAUCUUAGCCAUGAAUGAAAAGUCAUACUAUGGAUUUGGAAGAAAUAUUAAGAAGAAAAUUAUAUCAUAGGAGCUUCUCUCAGAAUCAUACAGCUUGGCAUCACUUCUUAAGGAUGAAUUUACACCCCCCAAAAUGGACUUAAUUGGGGACUGGCUGGAGUUGGGGUUUCAUUCUCAGCACCUGUGGGCUGACACCCUGCCCUCUAACCCUGUGCCCCUCUCUGAACCACAAGAGUCUCUGAUGCUCCAUCAUUAAGGGGUGAGUUCCUUUUAGUGUCCUCAGCAUUCACCUGUCCACCUCCGCACUCUGCAGGCGGAGAUGGGCCGGACUAUCCCUGCACAGGCUCGGGCCGCUGGUUGGCACGUAUGGGGGCAGAGCCGGGCACCUCCUUGUGGCUAAAUCCCAACCACCACCAGAGCCCUGAGCUCCUGGUCUCUGGCUGGGUCCAAGGACAUCGCGAAGUUCUGGAAAUUGAAUCCCUCCCAGAAGACAAGAACCUAGCACUCAGCUCUCACUGGCAGUUCCUUGGAGCUCCAGACCACAGCUCACACCGGUUCUGCCCUGAUCCCAUGACGACCCGCCAAGAUGUGGCCAGAUGGGACACACCAGUCCCAGCAUAUGGGGAUCACUUUGGCUCAGAAGUGCUUUCCCAUGAGGCUGCUUGAUGCUAUAACGGGGCCCUUCUCUCUAACACAAAGAAGGUUACAUGAGGUGCAGGGUUUGAUUGGUGGGGGCCUCUGAGAGGGCCCAGAUCCCUGUGUUAUGGAGGCUGUGCUGGGGCAAUGGGAAGACAGAAGACAAGGUUUGUCAAGGUACCAGCCGGGAGAGCAGCAUGCAGAGCCAGGGUGCAAUCCAUCCAUGACUAAGUCCCUUGUGAGAAAUGGGGCAGUCCUGUCCUUAUGCCCAGUGGCUACUCUGAAUAGACACUACUUCAGCAACAGUGUCUUAGAGGAUGAGAUGGCAGCCAGGCCAGAUAUCCAGGCAUCCCCGUCUGUGCCAGAUGACAUGCGUCAAUAGACAUGCGUGAAAUGGAUAAGAGAAACCACACCAUAAAGCAUGUCACCCCCACAUGACACCUGGGGGUCAGAACCUGUUCCCUGUAGACACAGGGGCACUGGUAUCUUCAUGGGAGGAGGCCAACAAGUACCCGAGGCUGUCCCAGGGACAAGCCUUCACUCCUCAUAGAUUCAGGAGUGAGGACAGAGACCUCCUAACAGUGAGCAUCUGACACCAUUCACUCACAGAAAACAGACAUCCCCCACUCCAUCUCUACCUUGUGAGCCACUUCACCUAUCCCUGGAGAUCCUGGGCAGCCUGUGUCCUCAUCUUCUCUCAGAGACCUGACCUCAGGUGCAGUUACCACCAGGGGAAGUCAGAGCCCCUCUCUGAACUCAAGGAAGUCAGGAGGUGACUCCUCCUCCUUAGGGUCUCUGAUCUGUGGGGAUAUGUGGCUAUGGUCUGCUGAAGACAUCUUACCACCCCAAGGUGUCCUGAGAAGUGAGAGGAACUUGCCGUGCAGGAUGGAACAGGAGAACCCAGGAUCUGAAUUUGCUUCCAUCUCAGCGGGGCUGAGGCUCCCACAGAGGCCUCCCCUUCCCUAGCAGAGGAACCCUCGAGACUCCCUGGAUGAGUCUCCAGGUGGAGCUGCUCUAGCUCCUGCGUCCUAUGGGGGAGCCUAGAGCAAAGACAGGGACAUAGGUGACUUGAACGCAACAGGCCCCAGUGCUGUGAUGGGGGAAACAGGGAAUUCUGAGGUGUAUUCUCCCCAAAGCCCCAAGAGACUCUUCACUGGCCCUUCCUUUGGAACUCUGGGAACAGAGACCACCAUCAGAGGCAACAUAUCCCCUUGGAUGGAUGGUUCUCCUGACAUUGGAUCAGGAAUCUUCUGGACAACAACUGUCCUCUCCCUGAGUUUACCCUGCACUGGGAUGGACUCAGGAAGCCUGGGACCCACAGGGACCAGGACCUGGGCUGACCAGCCCCUCAGCCUGGAGGUCAGAGCCCACCUCUGCCCAGGGCUCAGGGCCCACACAUCCUUUGGAGCCUGGUUAGCAUCUCUGGUGCAGCCCCCAGCAUAGCCUCCAGGGGGCAACAUUGGGACACGAAGACAACACAGAGGAAAUUAACACAUGAAGUUGGUUUUAGCUAAGAAGGUGGAAAAGGAGCUUCACUUCUAUCCCCGUUCCAACAGACACUUAUGGGGUCCCUACCAUGUGCCUGUUCUGUCUUGUCAGCUCCUUCCCGAGGCCUCUAAGGACUCUAUUGUCAAGUGUCCCUGUGCAGCUCCCCACUCCCUGCCUUGUGCCAUCCAUGGGGAAAGGCCAGUGACUACAGGAAAGUCAGCCAGGCAGGGAACAGAGGCUGCCCAGGAUGGUCAGAGGCCUAAACGAUAUUCUACUGUGUUUGUCUUAAUUCAUUGAUGGCAUUUGGGUUGUUUCCAUAUUUUGGCUAUUGUGAACAAUACUCUUUGAACAUGGGUGUACACAUAUUUCUUUCAGUUCCUGCUUUCACUUCUUUUGUGUAUAUACCCAGAAGUGGAAUUACUGGAUCAUAUGGUAUUUUUAUGUAAAGUUUUUUUCUGAAAAUCACCACCAUGGCUACACUAUUUUACUGUCCCGUCAAAAACACACCAGGCUCCAAUUUCUCCACAUCCACUCCAGCAUUUGUUGCUUUCUGGGCUUUUUUGAAAAUAGCCAUUCUAAUUGGUGCGAGGGAGUACCUAAUUGUAUUUUAAAUUUUUUUAAGUUUAUUUACUUAUUUUGAGACAGAGAGAGAGAGAGAGAGAGAGAGAGAGAGAGAGAGAGAAUGAGCAGGGGAGGGGCAGAGAAAGAGGGAGAGAGGGAGAAUCCCAAGCAGGCUCCACACUGUCAGCACAGAGCCCGAUGUGGGGCUUGAAUUCAUGAACUGCAAAGUCAUGACCUGAGUCAAAACCAAGAGUCAGACACUUAACCUACUGAGACACCCAGGAGCCCCUCAUUGUAGUUUUGAUUUGCAUCUCCCUCACAAUUGGUGAUGUGGAGCUGCUUUUUAUGUGGUUAUUGGCCAUCUGUAUACCUUCUUUGCAGACAUGUCU